This 914-nucleotide ribosomal RNA is filed under the name Magnaporthiopsis cynodontis. Its description in RNAcentral is "SSU rRNA". It matches the Rfam family "Eukaryotic small subunit ribosomal RNA", at positions 42 to 966 of the family's 1831-position model. The record is from RNAcentral. Lineage: Eukaryota; Fungi; Ascomycota; Sordariomycetes; Magnaporthales; Magnaporthaceae.
GAUUAAAGCCAUGCAUGUCUAAGUAUAAGCAAUUAUACAGCGAAACUGCGAAUGGCUCAUUAAAUCAGUUAUCGUUUAUUUGAUAGUACCUUACUACAUGGAUAACCGUGGUAAUUCUAGAGCUAAUACAUGCUGAAAACCCCGACUUCGGAAGGGGUGUAUUUAUUAGAUUAAAAACCAAUGCCCUCCGGGGCUCACUGGUGAUUCAUGAUAACUUCUCGAAUCGCACGGCCUUGCGCCGGCGAUGGUUCAUUCAAAUUUCUGCCCUAUCAACUUUCGACGGCUGGGUCUUGGCCAGCCGUGGUGACAACGGGUAACGGAGGGUUAGGGCUCGACCCCGGAGAAAACGCCUGAGAAACGGCGUUUACAUCCAAGGAAGGCAGCAGGCGCGCAAAUUACCCAAUGCCGACACGGCGAGGUAGUGACGAGAAAUACUGAUACAGGGCUCUUUUGGGUCUUGUAAUUGGAAUGAGUACAAUUUAAAUCUCUUAACGAGGAACAAUUGGAGGGCAAGUCUGGUGCCAGCAGCCGCGGUAAUUCCAGCUCCAAUAGCGUAUAUUAAAGUUGUUGCAGUUAAAAAGCUCGUAGUUGAACCUUGGGCCUGGCUGGCCGGUCCGCCUCACCGCGUGCACUGGUCCGGCCGGGCCUUUCCCUCUGGGGAGCCCCAUGCCCUUUACUGGGCGUGGCGGGGAACCAGGACUUUUACUUUGAAAAAAUUAGAGUGUUCAAAGCAGGCCUAUGCUCGAAUACAUUAGCAUGGAAUAAUAGAAUAGGACGUGUGGUUCUAUUUUGUUGGUUUCUAGGACCGCCGUAAUGAUUAAUAGGACAGUCGGGGGCGUCAGUAUUCAAUUGUCAGAGGUGAAAUUCUUGGAUUUAUUGAAGACUAACUACUGCGAAAGCAUUCGUCAAGGAUG